AUUUUAAACAUCUAAACUCAGACAACUUCACUUGCUUUCUAGCGAAAAUAGAUGAGAAACCACGGGUAGCUCCAUUCACCCUGUUGAAUCGUGCAGGAGCCAAUGCACCAGAAAUAUAAUCAAUGUCCUCAAGGUGACACCGCUAGGGUUUUGGUGGAAUUCUUAGAGGUGGCCGUUACUUCAAUUGUUUUUCUCAAGGGAGUUUAUCCUGCUGGAAAUUAUUUUUCCAGUGUGAGGUUUUGCGUGAUCUUUGCGCUCGAUA
Carica papaya (papaya) is the source of this 262-nucleotide non-coding RNA. Lineage: Eukaryota; Viridiplantae; Streptophyta; Magnoliopsida; Brassicales; Caricaceae. The record is from RefSeq and is a predicted model, not a curated record.